CAGUCGCCGGGGAAUACGUAGGGUGCAAGCGUUAAUCGGAAUUACUGUGCGUAAAGCGUGCGCAGGCGGUUAUAUAAGACAGAUGUGAAAUCCCCGGGCUCAACCUGGGAACUGCAUUUGUGACUGUAUAGCUAGAGUACGGCAGAGGGGGAUGGAAUUCCGCGUGUAGCAGUGAAAUGCGUAGAUAUGCGGAGGAACACCGAUGGCGAAGGCAAUCCCCUGGGCCUGUACUGACGCUCAUGCACGAAAGCGUGGGGAGCAAACAGGAUUAGAUACCCCUGUAGUCCCUGUCUCUUAUACA
Molecule: ribosomal RNA, 301 nt
Filed under: uncultured bacterium
Lineage: Bacteria
Description: partial 16S ribosomal RNA
Rfam family: Bacterial small subunit ribosomal RNA
Source: RNAcentral